UACGUAGGUGGCAAGCGUUGUCCGGAUUUACUGGGCGUAAAGAGCGCGCAGGCGGUCGUUCAAGUCGCGUGUGAAAGCCCCCGGCUCAACUGGGGAGGGUCACGCGAUACUGAUCGACUCGAAGGCAGGAGAGGGUAGUGGAAUUCCCGGUGUAGUGGUGGAAUGCGUAGAUAUCGGGAGGAACACCAGUGGCGAAGGCGACUACCUGGCCUGUUUCUUGACGCUGAGGCGCGAAAGCUAGGGGAGCAAACGGG
RNAcentral lists this ribosomal RNA (254 nucleotides) under uncultured bacterium. Its description in RNAcentral is "partial 16S ribosomal RNA". It matches the Rfam family "Bacterial small subunit ribosomal RNA", at positions 524 to 776 of the family's 1533-position model. The record is from RNAcentral.